This 862-nucleotide long non-coding RNA is filed under the name Lynx pardinus (Iberian lynx). Lineage: Eukaryota; Metazoa; Chordata; Mammalia; Carnivora; Felidae. The record is from RNAcentral.
AGACCAUUCUAGGCUGGCGCCGCGGGGACCCGGAACACCCAAGGGCUCGUUCCUCUGCGCUCCUGAAGGAGCCGACACAUGACUGCUGCUCUCUGGACCCCUAGAACCCUCAAAACGACAAGGUGAGGAGUCCCCGGCCAGCCGCGGGCAGCGGGCGCGGGCCAAGGAGCAGGGAACUCACCGUGUCCUGCCCCGCAGAAAUGGUGCUACCCAGCUCACGCCUGGGCCUUGGAACUGGGACUUCUUCAAGUCCCCUCUAGCUCUGACUCAAGAAUAUGCUGCAUUCUGGAACCACUACACUCCUUGACUCAGGAAUCGGCUCUGGAAGGUGAGUGCGGGCACCCUUCCGGAAGCUUCCGGGGCCGCCCUGCCCGGUCCCCGCUCACACGUCCUGUCGCUCUCUGCAGGUCAAGCUACAGGAACGAGACCAGCCCGACAGCAAGACCGUCGGAAGCGAGCAGCACCCGCGGCGGCCGCCACCCCGCCUGGCGCCUCCGUCUCCGUGGCCACCCUGCCGUGGACAGGCGACCACCAACCAGCCUCCACGCCCCCACGCCCCUCACCCUCCUUCUCUUCUUCCUUUCCUCUGUGCUUUCAUUUCCUUUCUUUCCUUUCCCCUUUGCUCGGGACUCAAAGCCACCGUGACUCCGUUUCCCCGUCCCUCCCGAAUUCAAUUUGCACUAAGUCGUUUGCACUGGUUUGGAGUUCUGGGUCUGGCCUCGAGUCCCCGAGCGCGUGUGCAAGCAAGAUGCUGAGUGCCCGCGCCGUGCCCAGCGCCCACCUGCCGUCCAUCUCUGCCUGGGGGUGCCUGGGUGCGUCCGAGUGUGUGGGGCCCCACCCUCCCCUUGCCUAGUCUGGGAGC